CCCGAGCUGACUUGCUGGCCAAGCUCGCCAGUUCAGGCAAGGGGGGUAGGCAGAGGACGGUGAUUCAAGAAACUCUGAAGACGCCGAGGGCAUUUGUAGCAGAUCACCUGGUUCUUCAGAUAAGCAGGUCGACGGAAAAAGUGGCAAGAAGUCACAAGUCUUUAACGCAAGAAACGUUGAGAUCGCCGAGAAUUAGAGCGUGUCGGGGAGAGAGGGUGAACAUGACACAGGUCUGCGCUACCCAUGAGCCAGACACUUGGAUAACACAGUACAAGCGGUGCCUGGCAGAUGGCCUUCUCCCGCUGGAUCCGACAGAGGCUAGGAAGGUAAAGAAAAAU
This 338-nucleotide long non-coding RNA is filed under the name Phaseolus vulgaris (common bean). Its description in RNAcentral is "long non-coding RNA (PVUL_LNC003941)". The record is from RNAcentral. Lineage: Eukaryota; Viridiplantae; Streptophyta; Magnoliopsida; Fabales; Fabaceae.